RNAcentral lists this ribosomal RNA (568 nucleotides) under uncultured bacterium. RNAcentral describes it as "partial 16S ribosomal RNA". It matches the Rfam family "Bacterial small subunit ribosomal RNA", at positions 355 to 1375 of the family's 1533-position model. The record is from RNAcentral.
UGGGGAAUAUUGCACAAUGGGCGCAAGCCUGAUGCAGCAACGCCGCGUGAGGGACGACGGCCUUCGGGUUGUAAACCUCUUUUAGUAGGGAAGAAGCGAAAGUGACGGUACCUGCAGAAAAAGCACCGGCUAACUACGUACCAGCAGCCGCGGUAAUACGUAGGGUGCGAGCGUUGUCCGGAAUUAUUGGGCGUAAAGAGCUCGUAGGCGGUCUGUCGCGUCUGCUGUGAAAACCCGAGGCUCAACCUCGGGCCUGCAGUGGGUACGGGCAGACUAGAGUGCGGUAGGGGAGAAUGGAAUUCCUGGUGUAGCGGUGGAAUGCGCAGAUAUCAGGAGGAACACCGAUGGCGAAGGCAGUUCUCUGGGCCGUAACUGACGCUGAGGAGCGAAAGCGUGGGAAGCGAACAGGAUUAGAUACCCUGGUAGUCCACGCCGUAAACGUUGGGCGCUAGAUGUGGGGACCAUUCCACGGUUUCCGUGUCGCAGCUAACGCAUUAAGCGCCCCGCCUGGGGAGUACGGCCGCAAGGCUAAAACUCAAAGGAAUUGACGGGGUCAUAGCUGUUUCCU